Long non-coding RNA from Temnothorax curvispinosus, 575 nucleotides. RefSeq lists it as uncharacterized. Lineage: Eukaryota; Metazoa; Arthropoda; Insecta; Hymenoptera; Formicidae. The transcript has 2 exons. The record is from RefSeq and is a predicted model, not a curated record.
AAUUCAUCGAUACGUGAUAACUCCAUGGAUAAAAGGAUCGAAAAUACGAUCCGCAGGAAUUGAUCGCACUGAAAACUGGUAAUGGUUACAUAAUAAUUUCAUGAGGAUAAUCAAUGAUUUCGCAAUAUUGUGCAAUCAAUUUAAACGACGUACUCGUCUAAUUAAUGUGAAUUUCACGUUCGUAAGCAGUAGAUCGUACAAAUAACAGAGAGUUGCCAACUGCUGCGGUGUCCGAGCGGUUAAGGAGAUGGACUUGAAAUCCAUUGGGUUCUACCCGCACAGGUUCGAAUCCUGUCCGCAGCGAAUUUUUUUUUUCUUCUUUAUAUUACAUAAGAAGUAAUUAUCCGUACAUAGGUACGUAUAUACUUAAUGAAAAAAUGCAAAAAAGAUUUUUAAUUAAUUAUAAAUAAAAUAAUAGCGCAACUUAAUCAUUCUAUAAUAAUCUCGCGAUAUUGCGCAAUCGUUUAAACAAACGAUAGAAAUAUUAAUGUAAAUAAAUUUUCUCGUAAAAAAUUAACACGUAUGUCGCGCAAGAAUGUAACAACAUGUCUAUUAAUAAAGCCGAUAACGCAGUA